This 221-nucleotide ribosomal RNA is filed under the name uncultured bacterium. Its description in RNAcentral is "partial 16S ribosomal RNA". It matches the Rfam family "Bacterial small subunit ribosomal RNA", at positions 111 to 334 of the family's 1533-position model. The record is from RNAcentral.
UAAUACAUCGGAACGUGUCUUCUAGUGGGGGAUAACUGCCCGAAAGGCGAGCUAUAACCGCAUGAGACCUGAGGGUGAAAGCGGGGGAGUCGCAAGACCUCGCGCUGGAAGAGCGGCCGAUGUCCGAUUAGCUAGUUGGUGAGGUAAAGGCUCACCAAGGCGACGAUCGGUAGCUGGUCUGAGAGGACGACCAGCCACACUGGGACUGAGACACAGCCCAG